RNAcentral lists this unclassified non-coding RNA (205 nucleotides) under Hevea brasiliensis (rubber tree). The record is from RNAcentral. Lineage: Eukaryota; Viridiplantae; Streptophyta; Magnoliopsida; Malpighiales; Euphorbiaceae.
UCUCUCUCUCUCUCUCUCUCUCUCUCAUUUCUUUCUCUUUUUUCUCUUUUUCUUUUUUCCAUCAAGAAGAUGUUUAAAUCCUUUUCCCUUAAAAAACAUAAUGUAGGGAAGAAGAAAGUUACCAUACCAUAACUUCAGGAAGUUUAUUCCUUAAACCUUCACCAUGUGUGCCUCAGCCAAAGAAGAACUAAGGUCUUCUCGAGAU